UCAUGAUAUUGCACAUAUCCCUGCUUCUGCUGUUAUAUCAGCCUCUACCUCUCAGGUCCCCUCCAUAGCAACAGUUCCUCCUAGCCUCACAACUUCAGCUCCAUUAAUUCGCCGUCAGCUCUCACAUGACCACGAAUCUGUUGGCCCUCCUAGCCUGGAUGCUCAGCCCAACUCAAAGACAGAAAGAUCAAAAUCAUAUGAUGAGGGUCUGGAUGAUUACAGAGAAGAUGCAAAAUUGUAAGUCUCAGGUGUAUUAUUUGAAAUAUUUGUAUGUGGGUGGAUUUUCAGCAUG
This 292-nucleotide small RNA is filed under the name Pongo abelii (Sumatran orangutan). RNAcentral's name for it is "retained intron". The record is from RNAcentral. Lineage: Eukaryota; Metazoa; Chordata; Mammalia; Primates; Hominidae.